UACGUAGGGUGCAAGCGUUGUCCGGAAUUAUUUGGCGUAGAGAGCACGUAGGCGGUCUGUCGCGUCGGCUGUGAAAACUCGGGGCUCAACCCCGAGCCUGCAGUCGAUACGGGCAGACUAGAGUGCUGUAGGGGAGACUGGAAUUCCUAGUGUAGCGGUGAAAUGCGCAGAUAUCAGGAGGAACACCGGUGGCGAAGGCGGGUCUCUGGGCAGUAACUGACGCUGAGGAGCGAAAGCGUGGGGAGCGAACAGG
Molecule: ribosomal RNA, 253 nt
Filed under: uncultured bacterium
Lineage: Bacteria
Description: partial 16S ribosomal RNA
Rfam family: Bacterial small subunit ribosomal RNA
Source: RNAcentral